This 497-nucleotide ribosomal RNA is filed under the name uncultured bacterium. RNAcentral describes it as "partial 16S ribosomal RNA". It matches the Rfam family "Bacterial small subunit ribosomal RNA", at positions 28 to 507 of the family's 1533-position model. The record is from RNAcentral.
GAUGAACGCUGGCGGCGUGCCUAAUACAUGCAAGUCGAGCGAACGGACGAGAAGCUUGCUCCUCUGACGUUAGCGGCGGACGGGUGAGUAACACGUGGAUAACCUACCUAUAAGACUGGGAUAACUUCGGGAAACCGGAGCUAAUACCGGAUAAUAUAUUGAACCGCAUGGUUCAAAAGUGAAAGACGGUCUUGCUGUCACUUAUAGAUGGAUCCGCGCUGCAUUAGCUAGUUGGUAAGGUAACGGCUUACCAAGGCAACGAUGCGUAGCCGACCUGAGAGGGUGAUCGGCCACACUGGAACUGAGACACGGUCCAGACUCCUACGGGAGGCAGCAGUAGGGAAUCUUCCGCAAUGGGCGAAAGCCUGACGGAGCAACGCCGCGUGAGUGAUGAAGGUCUUCGGAUCGUAAAACUCUGUUAUUAGGGAAGAACAAAUGUGUAAGUAACUAUGCACGUCUUGACGGUACCUAAUCAGAAAGCCACGGCUAACUACGUG